RNAcentral lists this ribosomal RNA (799 nucleotides) under uncultured Bacillota bacterium. RNAcentral's name for it is "bacterial SSU rRNA". It matches the Rfam family "Bacterial small subunit ribosomal RNA", at positions 58 to 890 of the family's 1533-position model. The record is from RNAcentral. Lineage: Bacteria; Bacillati; Bacillota.
CAAGUCGAACGAGAAAGUGGAGCAAUCCAUGAGUAAAGUGGCGUACGGGUGAGUAACACGUGGAUAACCUGCUCUUUAGUGGGGAAUACCGCUGGGAAACCGGCGACAAUACCGCAUAAGCUCGAGAGAGGAAAGCAGCAAUGCGCUGGAGGAGGGGUCCGCGGUCGAUUAGCUAGUUGGUAGGGUAAUGGCCUACCAAGGCUGUGAUCGAUAGCCGGCCUGAGAGGGCACACGGCCACACUGGCACUGAAACACGGGCCAGACUCCUACGGGAGGCAGCAGUGGGGAAUCUUGCACAAUGGGGGAAACCCUGAUGCAGCGACGCCGCGUGAGCGAUGAAGCCCUUCGGGGUGUAAAGCUCUUUCGGCAGGGAAGAUUAUGACGGUACCUGCAGAAGCAGCUGCGGCUAACUACGUGCCAGCAGCCGCGGUAAUACGUAGGCAGCAAGCGUUGUUCGGAGUUACUGGGCGUAAAGGGUGCGUAGGCGGUUCUGUAAGUAUGGUGUGAAAUCUCCCGGCUUAACUGGGAGGGUGCGCUAUAAACUGCGGGGCUAGAGUGUGGGAGAGGAAAGUGGAAUUCCUGGUGUAGCGGUGAAAUGCGUAGAUAUCAGGAGGAACACCGGUGGUGUAAACGGCUUUCUGGACCAUAACUGACGCUGAAGCACGAAAGCGUGGGUAGCAAACAGGAUUAGAUACCCUGGUAGUCCACGCCCUAAACGACGCAUAUUUGGUGUGGGUCAUUCAGUUGUUCCGUGCCGGAGCUAACGCGUUAAAUAUGCCGCCUGGGGAGUACAGUCGCA